UGGGGAAUUUUGGACAAUGGGGGAAACCCUGAUCCAGCCAUCCCGCGUGUGCGAUCAAGGCCUUCGGGUUGUAAAGCACUUUUGGCAGGAAAGAAACGUCAUGGGUUAAUACCCCGUGAAACUGACGGUACCUGCAGAAUAAGCACCGGCUAACUACGUGCCAGCAGCCGCGGUAAUACGUAGGGUGCAAGCGUUAAUCGGAAUUACUGGGCGUAAAGCGUGCGCAGGCGGUUCGGAAAGAAAGAUGUGAAAUCCCAGAGCUCAACUUUGGAACUGCAUUUUUAACUACCGGGCUAGAGUGUGUCAGAGGGAGGUGGAAUUCCGCGUGUAGCAGUGAAAUGCGUAGAUAUGCGGAGGAACACCGAUGGCGAAGGCAGCCUCCUGGGAUAACACUGACGCUCAUGCACGAAAGCGUGGGGAGCAAACAGG
This 429-nucleotide ribosomal RNA is filed under the name Acidobacteriota bacterium. RNAcentral describes it as "Acidobacteria bacterium partial 16S ribosomal RNA". It matches the Rfam family "Bacterial small subunit ribosomal RNA", at positions 355 to 776 of the family's 1533-position model. Lineage: Bacteria; Pseudomonadati; Acidobacteriota. The record is from RNAcentral.